RNAcentral lists this ribosomal RNA (954 nucleotides) under Triticum aestivum (bread wheat). RNAcentral's name for it is "partial small subunit ribosomal RNA". The record is from RNAcentral. Lineage: Eukaryota; Viridiplantae; Streptophyta; Magnoliopsida; Poales; Poaceae.
GUCUAUUCCAAGGACCCUAUAGACAUCCUGAAUAUUAAACUUAAAAUAUUCAAAACCUACUUUAAGGGGUGGGGCUCGAACAAGUUUCAUCACAAUAAAAAAUGAAAGAAGCUUAGACUAGAGCUAGCCAUGCUAGAAGAAUUGGAAGAGGAAGGGCAACUAACUCCAGAGCUAUAUAGCAGAAAAAUUGAUGUGUGCUUUGAGCUACACGAGAUUUUGGUGAAUGAGGAAAUCUACUGGCUCCAACAGUCGCAUGAGCGAUGGUUGCUGAAAGGAGACUUAAACACUGACUACUAUCACAAAAUUGCUAAUGGGUGUAAGCGAGAAAACACCAUUCACUCUCUUAGAGCUGGUGAGGUGGUGAUAGUGGGCACGGAUAACCUGAUUGCUCAUGCUACUGAGUUCUAUAAAGAACUCUUCAGCCCGGCACUAGGCAACCAGUUUCAUCUGGACCCUGAUACUUGGUCUGAUGAUGAAAAGUUUAAUGAGGAUGACAACAGAGAUCUGUGUCGUGAGUUCACUGAAUUGGAGGUUAGGGAAGCUCUUUUUUCCAUGGCCACCAACAGAGCACCAGGUCCGGACAAUAUUCUGGUGGAAUUUUACCAAGCAUGCUGGGAGAUAGUAAAAGAUGAUAUUAUGUCCCUGUUUAGGAACUUUCAUAAUGGGAUGCUUGAUGUUCAGCGUCUCAAUUAUGGGGUGAUUACAUUGUUGCCUAAGAUUUCUGGGGCCGACAAAAUUCAACAGUUUAGACCGAUAUGCCUCCUGAGAUGCCCAUAUAAACUCAUUACUAAAGUGAUGGAUCGUAGGGUGGAGGUGUAUGCCGAUAAGCUAAUUAGUUCUACUCAAAAUGCUUUUGUGAAAGGGAGAAACAUUAUGGAUGGGGUGCUUUCUUUGCACGAAAUCCUUAACUAUACCCAUGUUAAAAAAAAGAGUGGGCAUAGUACUAAAACUUGA